Molecule: RNA transcript, 1853 nt
Organism: Mandrillus leucophaeus (drill)
Lineage: Eukaryota; Metazoa; Chordata; Mammalia; Primates; Cercopithecidae
Gene name: ankyrin repeat domain-containing protein 36B-like
Exons: 2
Source: RefSeq, a predicted model, not a curated record
UUAUAUGCUGAAAAUGAGGUUUGAGAAUAGGUAUUUUAAACUAUUUAUAAUCCUACAGUCGAUUCUAGUCAGAAGUUAUCUGAGCAAAGAGAAAAUAAACAAAGCCUGGCGUAAACAGUCCCAUAGAAAAUAGAACCCACAGCCAUGGGGCUGCCCUUCAAUUUCCCAAUUCAUUCCACUAAGUCUCAUGAUGCAACAUCUGUCACUUUCAUAGGGAAAACAGAAGCCAAGCCAGAUCCUCCAUACUUUAAGAUAUGGUCCCUUAUUAUCUAUUUUAACAGAAGUAUCAAAAAGCGAUUUUUUAAAUUUAUUUAUUUAUUUUUGAGACAGAGUCUCGCUCUGUUGCUCAGGCUGCAGUGCAGGGGCAUGAUCUCCUCCUGGGUUCAAGCAAUUCUUGUGCCUCAGCCUCCCUCCCAAGUAGGUGGGAUUAUAGGCACACACCAGUUACCCUGGCUGAUUUUUUUGCUGUUGUUAUUUUUUGUAGAAAUGGGGUUUCGCCAUGUUGGCCAGGCUGGAAAUAGACACAAUGAAAAAUCAAAUGCUGGAAAAGAAAUACCUAAAAGACAUUGAAAUUAUAAAAAGAAAGCAUGAAGACCUCAAAAGGCUCUAAAACAGAAUGGGGAAACAUCAACAAAAGCGAUAGCCCAUUAUAGUGGACAGCUUACUGCUCUGACAGAUGAGAACACAAUGCUCCGUUCCAAACUGGAGAAGGAAAAACAAAGCAGGCAAAGACUGACGAAAUGGAAUCAUACCAUCGUAGACUGAAUGCUGCUCUACGUGAUCAUGAUCAAAGUCACUCAACAGAAAGAGACCAAGAGCUUGAUGUCCAGGGCACGGUAGAGAAAUUGUGUCAUUUACAGGAAAAUUUGAAUUCUCAUGUUCUGAUUCUUUCUCAACAACUUUCUAAAGCUAAGAGUAAGUUCUGGGUCCUCAAAACUGAGCUCCAUUACACGAGACGCUCUGAAAGAAAGGCUUUGGUUUUUGAACACAUACAAAGAGAGCUAAACCAAACAGUGUCAAAUGAAGGACAUUGAAAAAAUGUACACAAAUGGCCAAGAUAAAGUAGAAAAAUGCACAGAAAAGCAAGUAAGAUUAUGUCAACUACAAAGACAAACUAUGUUGCUUCAACAGCAACUGGAUGAUGUUCACAACAAAGCUGACAAUCAAGAAAAAAUAGUAAUUGAUAUUCAAGCCAAACGUGAUGCUACAGUACAAAAUCUUCAGGCUGAGUGCAUAAAGCACAGUCUUUUGCUAGAAGAGUAAGAGGAUGAUCAAUAAAGUUAAUCAUUUGAAAGAAAAACAAUGUCAAUAUGAAAGAGAGAAAGCAGAAAGAGAAGUAGUUGUGAGACAACUUCAACAAAAACAGAGUGAUGUCCUAAACAAUCAACAAAAGCUUCGCUGGAUGCUUCAUUGCGUCACUGCAUCCGUUGAGGAAGUGAGAUGCAAGAUUCAAGGAAGAAAUUAGGCCAGAUGAGAAUUCAAUUUCAAGAAAAACAGUAUCAACUUACAGCAACUAUGAGAUGUACUAAGGAGACGCAAGGCCACAUACAAAAGCUCGAAACAGAAAAUUCCAUGUUAAGAAAUACAAUUAAAAAGCAAGAUGGCCAAAUUGAGCAGCUUCAGAAAAUCCUGUGAAGUUCAAUGCAGCAGUUGUUGAAAGAAAAUGAAACUACAGAAACAGAUGAAGCUUAUUCUGAAUUUAAAUCUGGAUCCUCUACAGCAGAGGUCCCCAACCUGCAGGCCACGGACAGGUCCAUGACCUGUCAGGAACCAGCUACACAGCAGGAGAGUUACUGUGGAUCUUCUAGAUUAUCUGCAUGCCACGUUUUAAUUUCCACAAAAAACAAAACAAA